Zootermopsis nevadensis is the source of this 558-nucleotide non-coding RNA. The record is from RefSeq and is a predicted model, not a curated record. NCBI's taxonomy places the organism in Eukaryota, Metazoa, Arthropoda, Insecta, Blattodea, Termopsidae.
UCAAAAGGACAACAAUAUAAUCCUUGUCAUUAUUAUCACAGUGAGUCAUGUGACCAUGAAUGAUUCUAGCCCCAUGCCAGCCAGCAAAAUAUUUUCUCUUGCAAGAGUGGAGACGAGUGUGUGGAGCUGGUGUUCCUAUCAUAAGGAGGACUAGUAAUAUGACGAUAGAUGGCAUGCUAGUGGAGAAGUGGGGUUAGACAUUUGGUGGUUAAAAACAAACUACAGUUGCUGACAGCCCGUUUCCUGUCAUGGAGAUAAUAAGUGUAUUGGUGACAAGUAUAAGCGGUGGACGUGGUAACUUCAUUGAAAACCAGAGGAAUGCACGUUUCUUGAAUUGUGUACUAUGUGCGUAAUUUCCCAUCGAUGCCAACUUAACAUCACGGGCGAACUUCUAGGAGUGACGCGUGGACCAACAUUAACAGAAGGAUUUAAAAGACACUUUCUUAAUUAAAGAAAUUUCCAUAAGGACCCUGAGGGCAUCUUCCAGUGCAACCAACAGAUAGAAUAGCAGCUCUUGGGGGAUGCGAUAGCAGUGUCUUUCCUUUAUCUACAAAAAAG